CGUCAAAUCAUCAUGCCCCUUAUGCCCUGGGCUACACACGUGCUACAAUGGCCGGUACAAUGGGCUGCGAACCCGCGAGGGGGAGCCAAUCCCAAAAAGCCGGUCUCAGUUCGGAUCGCAGGCUGCAACUCGCCUGCGUGAAGCCGGAAUCGCUAGUAAUCGCGGAUCAGCAUGCCGCGGUGAAUACGUUCCCGGGCCUU
Molecule: ribosomal RNA, 200 nt
Filed under: uncultured organism
Description: partial small subunit ribosomal RNA
Rfam family: Bacterial small subunit ribosomal RNA
Source: RNAcentral